Molecule: long non-coding RNA, 851 nt
Organism: Lathyrus oleraceus (garden pea)
Lineage: Eukaryota; Viridiplantae; Streptophyta; Magnoliopsida; Fabales; Fabaceae
Exons: 3
Source: RefSeq, a predicted model, not a curated record
UUCCACCAUUUAUUCUCCUCACUAAAAAUCAACUAUUAAAAAACCCACCCCUAUCAUCAUUCUCAAAAAAAAAAAAAAAAAAAACAACUCCCUUAAAACUACAACAAUAACUCCAACACGGCAGUUGCGGAAACACCGCACACCCCCUACUUCCGCCGCGAAAACCAUCGUGAAAACAUCAUCGACAACCCGAGCAACAACACGUGAACCACAGUGUCCUUUCCUGCAAAUCACUUAGUUCGAAGCUUCACGUUGCCGCCGGAUCUGAACCGUGUUCACACCUUCGCCAAAAACAAAAUCUCUGUUACGUGAAACAACGUUCAUCGUUGAUCUUUUCCGCGGUACAUUUAGUUGCUUACAGUUCUUUAAGAACUUGCUUGCUGCUGCUUGGUUUUUUAAACCACUUGAGGUGUCAACCGGUGCGCAUAGCUCGUUUGCUCAGAUAUCCUGCUAGGGGCAACAAAUCCAAACUGAUGGAUCCACUCAACACCGGUAAAGGCAGACAUGUUUGGGACUGGUUAUCCGGAUCGAGAGUCGUCUAGACCAAACAGAGGACGUCGUCCACCGUACAUCUUUGUCAGCGCAGGAAUGCUGGAUCCUGAUCAUGCUUGCUCAGUGAGUGAAGAGAUCGACCGCGAGCUAGAGCUGUGGAUAAAGUCGUGCGUACCAGGCGACUGGAAGGCCUCCAAAAGCAUCACUGUCGCUCAUCCGGAAGAGUAGUUUUUCUGUGUUAAUUUUGUUUGCAUGAAAGCCAUACGUUUCGCCCGAAACGUAAUGGUCCAUUGUAAGGGCCAUCUUAUGUGUUUCAUUUUGCAACAUUUUGCAUCAGUAAUGAAUGGAUGUUUUUGUGA